Molecule: ribosomal RNA, 506 nt
Filed under: uncultured soil bacterium
Lineage: Bacteria
Description: bacterial SSU rRNA
Rfam family: Bacterial small subunit ribosomal RNA
Source: RNAcentral
AGAUUGAACGCUGGCGGCAGGCCUAACACAUGCAAGUCGAGCGGUAGAGAGGUGCUUGCAUCUCUUGAGAGCGGCGGACGGGUGAGUAAUGCCUAGGAAUCUGCCUAGUGGUGGGGGAUAACGUUCGGAAACGGACGCUAAUACCGCAUACGUCCUACGGGAGAAAGCGGGGGACCUUCGGGCCUCGCGCCAUUAGAUGAGCCUAGGUCGGAUUAGCUAGUUGGUGAGGUAAUGGCUCACCAAGGCGACGAUCCGUAACUGGUCUGAGAGGAUGAUCAGUCACACUGGAACUGAGACACGGUCCAGACUCCUACGGGAGGCAGCAGUGGGGAAUAUUGGACAAUGGGCGAAAGCCUGAUCCAGCCAUGCCGCGUGUGUGAAGAAGGUCUUCGGAUUGUAAAGCACUUUAAGUUGGGAAGGAAGGGUUUGUAAACCUAAUACGUUGACAACUUUAGACGUUAACCGACAGAAUAAGCACCCGGCUAACUUCGUUGCCAGCAGCCGUA